ACAUUACUUCCAACAUGGUUUACUAACGUUUAUUCAAUAUAAGUAGAGCUUCUUUUCAUUCAGCAAGCUGGUAAGAAAAUAUAUGGAAGCCCCAAGAAAAGGCUUUUGGUAAAAUGAUAGCUAUAUUUAGAAGCAUGCUAAUUUUUUCAAACUGAGCUUUCUUAGUAGGAAAAAUCCCUAAUCCUAAGAUGCAUUUUCCAGACAGAGAGAAGUGAGAUGUAAUUUCAUUUUGUCUGGCUUUGCAUUUGCGUUCACAAGAACAUUGCCACGCAAAUCAAACCACUGUGGCCUCUAUGUCCCAGCAAGUUCAAAGAUGCGAAUAAAACUGUCUCAUUCCUGUUCUCUCAUUUAUUUUUAUUGGUAACAAAGUGUCAGUCACUGGUAACACUCCUGUAGUUUGUUGCAGCAUUUAGAGGCACAGAUUAAGAGGAUUGCUCAUCUAUAGUAUCUCCAAGAUCUUAAUCACCUGUCCUGGAGCCAAGAGAGACCGUGAACAUGAGGACACAGUGUUCUGUUUUCUCCUCAGAGCAGGGCAGAUGACAUCUGUGUUGUGUAGGUAAACUUGGCCUGGGGUGCAUUAGUUUGGGGGCUGUGGGACCAUGGAUAGUGGUCUCCUGUGAGAUUUACAGUUCUAUUCAUUCACUCCUUCAUUCAGCCAUCAUAUGUUCAGCACAUCACCAUGUGCCAAGCAGAGAGCUAGGCCAGUAUAACAGAACUGGGUACCUAGCCUCAUGAUUUACAUCAUGGAACCAUAGAAUGUUAAAGUGUAAAGGACCUAAAAAUGGUCAAAAUCUAACAUCACAGAUAAAGGGCUUGCUAAAGACAGCAUGAGUUACAAACCAAUCAACCCUGAAUCUCCAGACUCCCAGGAAAUUGCUCUUUCCAUUAUAUUCCACUGCCUCUACUAACAGGUGCCAGUACCUCUCCUCUCUUUCCUGCUAAAUGAUGAAAGGCACUGUUUUCAAGAGAGAAUUUGAUGGAUGAAGUACUGUGGGAGGAUGAGGAAUAGAUCAGAGAACCCAAUGCUUGGGUGGAGUGGCAAAAUUCCACAAUCCUCUCUGAAAAUAAUCCAGUAGAAAAGAGAUUCAAAACUCAAAACUCAGCUUUCAGAAAAUACCUGCCAGUGGGAACCUUGAAGGAAGAAGAACAGAAACGGUGCAAACCCAUUGCAAUUUAACCUAGAAUUUCUGCUUUCUUUACUAUGAUUCUACGGUCACUCUCUUUAAAGAAAUAAAGCAGAAAAAAAAAAAAAAAGCAGCCAACAGGUGACAAAUAAAGGCUCAGACAUUUGCCCUAUUUAUAAGCCUUUGGAAAGUCCUGAAAAUGCCAGCCAGUUUCUAACAUCCUCUUCUGAAAGAUGGAAGAAUAGAAAAUGAGAUUCAAGGACUUUACAAGCUUGAUUUCCUCUCUAGAAUCAAUUCUUUUGCAAGAAGCAAAUCCCCUCAUGUUUGCGGCAUUUGAACUAAGACUUUAUUUCACCCCAUCUUUAUCUAGUAUCUAAAUGUCAGAAUGUAUUGUUCCUACAACUGAAGAACAUGUCGCUUAAUGAGUUCAUAACAGAAGAUUGCUAUUCUCUCCGGCCGAAGUACCAUAAACCCACUGAUGGGUUUCAGAGACUUGAGUGCCAGAACUGGUCAUCGUUUUCCAGUGGUUUACCCACGGUGAGCCUUACCUGAGUUAACUUUUGUGCCUAAAUCGUAGGCAAAAUUGGCCAGAUGAACAACAUAAACUUGCUAAAGAUCAAGUUGUGUGAUAGUUCUAGGGAUGAUUUCACAGCCCUACAAAGGAAACAGUCCCUGGCCUUGGAGAACAGGUUUCUGAUAAAGAGAAAGAAUUCUGGACUGAGAAUCAGAAGUUCUCGGGGGAAGGCCCGCUUGGUGAUAGAUUACAUGUCUUUUCAUCUCUCAUUCUUUUUCUCAGCCGUAAGAUGAGGAGCUAGGUGAAAUUCUUUGACUUAUUCACUGCUCCACUUUCGCACAUGAAACUGUGCCUGGCACAUAAAAGCUCUCAAUAAAUAUAUGUUGAAUAUAUGAAUAAAUCUCCAAGAGGCAUUCCAUCAAGGUGGUUAAAAGGAUGGCUUCUAGAAUUAGAAAGUCUUGCUUUGAGUACUGGUGCUGUAGGUCACUAGAAAUGUGGUCUUGAGUAAGAUAUUGGACCUCACCAAUCCUCAUUUUCCUUCUCUGGGAAGUUGAGAUAAGAAUGAUCAUAUCAUGAUUGUAUUCAUAAUAGUUGCUAUGAUGAAUAUUAUAUUUAAAAAAAUUAACUUCAUGUAAAUGCCAACGUUUAUUGGUUACCAUUAUUCUCUGCUGUGGGGUGGAGAAAGCAUGAACUUGAGCUCCCAGAGGAAACCUCGUGUGAUUGGCGCCCCUUAAGCAUGAAUAAUCGCUGCCCUAUGAUGAAAAGGACGGUUUCCUCUUGAAGCCUGAAGACCUGUUGUGAUUGCAGCCUCUGUCUUCUUUUCUUCCUGGACAGGGGACUUCUCGGUCAGGAUGGACAAACACCUCUUGUUGCUCCUAUCUGUCUUCUGCUGCACUGUGGCGGCACCCCUGAAAUGUGUAACGUGCCACCUCCGCACGGAGAUGGAUCGCUGUAGAAGAGGCUUUGGAAUCUGUGUUGCCAAGAAGUAUGAGACCUGCUUGCUCUUAAAGAUCCUCCAGGGUAAGUUGGAGGAUCAGGGGAGGCGCUGUGAGAUUCCUAGAAAGUUCUUGGGAGAGUACUUCAACAGUUUUCUACCCCAGACUAAGGCCAGUGCAAGAAAGGAAGCCAAGUGCCGGGUGUCCCUGGGCAUCAGCAGAAGGGGACUUGGGAAGAUGAGACAGGAGGAAGAAGCAUCUGUACGGAGAGCUGGAGGGUGCCAGGGAGCUUAACCGCGUAACGCCUGCAGGGGACCCGUGAUUUCUACGUCUCCCUGCUUGGGUCCUCUUGGGAAGUAUAAGACAGGAGGCCAUCUCUAAACCUAUCCUGAUACCUAAUUAAAUUUUUACCUACAGGACUAGUGCCAGGUUUGACUUGCCUUUAGAAAACUUAGAUCACUGGCUUAUUUUCUCUCUUUCUUUGUGUGUGUGCGGGGUUGGUGGGGGGAACGAGGUUUAUUUGUUAUUAGAGGAGGUACUGGGGAUUGAACCCAGGACCUCAUGCAUGCUAAGCAAGCGCUCUGCCACUUGAGUUAUACCCUCCCCCCAUCACUGGCUUAUUUUCUGCGAUGCCUUCUCAUUACAGAUGACAUUUUCCAGUUAGCAUACAUGGUGUGUCAGAAAUUCUGCAGAGACUUGACAUACAGGAUCAACAGUCGAACUUAUAUUCAUAAGUGCUGCAACCACAAU
Camelus dromedarius (Arabian camel) is the source of this 3323-nucleotide RNA transcript. It is a transcript of the gene named prostate and testis expressed 3, with no coding region annotated. The transcript is spliced from 2 exons. Lineage: Eukaryota; Metazoa; Chordata; Mammalia; Artiodactyla; Camelidae. The record is from RefSeq and is a predicted model, not a curated record.